CCAGCAGUGGGCCAGUCACGGAAGACAAGUCCUCAUCCAAGGACAUGAACUCCCCAACAGACCGUCAUCCUGACGGCUAUUUAGCCAGGUAAGUAGAGCCGGGGAAUCAGGCCCCUAAGCCUCCACUCCUGGGGCCAUGAGGAGUCACUGUACCCUCAGCCUUGCAGUACUGCCCGGUGUGAUACACUCUUCUGUUUUCUCCCUGUUUCUGUGAACGUCUAGGCAACGAAAAAGAGGAGAGCCACCCCCUCCAGUAAGGCGUCCUGGCAGGACCAGUGAUGGCCAUUGCCCGCUCCACCCUCCACAUGCGCUUUCUAACUCCUCAGUUGACCUGGGGUCCCCGAGCCUUGCCAGUCACCCCCGGGGCCUGCUGCAGAACCGUGGCCUCAACAAUGACAGUCCUGAGCGGAGGCGCAGGCCUGGCCAUGGCAGCCUGACCAACAUCAGCCGGCACGACUCCCUCAAGAAGAUCGACAGCCCUCCCAUUAGAAGGUCCACGUCAUCAGGGCAAUACACGGGCUUCAAUGACCACAAGCCACUGGACCCAGAGACAAUUGCUCAGGAUAUUGAAGAAACGAUGAACACAGCUUUGAAUGAACUCCGAGAACUGGAGAGACAGAGCACAGCAAAGCAUGCCCCUGAUGUGGUGCUGGAUACCCUGGAGCAAGUGAAAAACUCUCCCACCCCUGCCACUUCCACGGAAUCUCCCAGCCCUUUGCACAACGUUGCCCUCAGGAGCUCCGAGCCUCAGAUUCGACGUAGCACGAGCUCCUCCAGUGACACAAUGAGUACUUUCAAGCCUAUGGUGGCACCCAGAAUGGGCGUGCAGCUGAA
This 834-nucleotide small RNA is filed under the name Pongo abelii (Sumatran orangutan). RNAcentral describes it as "retained intron". Lineage: Eukaryota; Metazoa; Chordata; Mammalia; Primates; Hominidae. The record is from RNAcentral.